Molecule: ribosomal RNA, 253 nt
Filed under: uncultured bacterium
Lineage: Bacteria
Description: partial 16S ribosomal RNA
Rfam family: Bacterial small subunit ribosomal RNA
Source: RNAcentral
UACGGAAGGUGCAAGCGUUAUCCGGAAUCACUGGGUUUAAAGGGUGCGUAGGCUGUUAUAUAAGUCAGAGGUGAAAUGUAUGGGCUUAACCGAUAACCUGCCUUUGAAACUGUAUAACUUGAAAUAGGCUGAGGUCAGCGGAAUGUGGCAUGUAGCGGUGAAAUGCAUAGAUAUGCCAUAGAACACCAAUUGCGAAGGCAGCUGACUAGACCUUAUUUGACGCUGAGGCACGAAAGCGUGGGGAGCGAACAGG